UUAAUUGAAACCAAAAUAGAGGUUUAUUACUGUUAAUAAUAAUAUUGAAAAUUUAAAUUUCCAAUUAAA
RNAcentral lists this transfer RNA (69 nucleotides) under Mindarus keteleerifoliae. Its description in RNAcentral is "tRNA-Asn". The record is from RNAcentral. Lineage: Eukaryota; Metazoa; Arthropoda; Insecta; Hemiptera; Mindaridae.